This 102-nucleotide non-coding RNA is filed under the name Foraminifera environmental sample. Lineage: Eukaryota; Foraminifera. The record is from RNAcentral.
CAAGAAAGUGAGCAAACCAAGAAAGAAGAAACAAAGAACCAAUGAUAUGCUGUGAUUUGUAUGUUUGUUUUUGUUUAUUUGGUUUAUCUGGCUUAUUUUAUU